GAGCGGUAACAGGCGUAGCAAUACGUGCUGACGAGCGGCAAACGGGUGAGUAACGCUUCGGAAUCUGCCCAAUGGUGGGGAAUAACCAGCCGAAAGGUUGGCUAAUACCGCAUGAGCCCUUCGGGGGAAAGCGGGGGAUCGCAAGACCUCGCGCCGAUGGAUGAGCCGAAGCCGGAUUAGCUAGUUGGUAGGGUAACGGCCUACCAAGGCGACGAUCCGUAGCUGGUCUGAGAGGACGACCAGCCACACUGGGACUGAGACACGGCCCAGACUCCUACGGGAGGCAGCAGUGGGGAAUAUUGGACAAUGGGGGAAACCCUGAUCCAGCGACGCCGCGUGUGUGAAGAAGGCCUGCGGGUUGUAAAGCACUUUUAGUGGGGGUGAAAAGCUCAGGGCUAACACCUCUGGGUCUUGACCUAACCCACAGAAAAAGCACCGGCUAACUCUGUGCCAGCAGCCGCGGUAAUACAGAGGGUGCAAGCGUUAAUCGGAAUUACUGGGCGUAAAGCGUACGUAGACGGUUGGAUAAGUCGGAUGUGAAAGCCCCGGGCUCAACCUGGGAAUGGCACUCGAGACUGUGCAGCUAGGGUGCGGAAGAGGGAAGCGGAAUUUCCGGUGUAGCGGUGAAAUGCGUAGAUAUCGGAAGGAACACCAGUGGCGAAGGCGGCUUCCUGGUCCAGCACCGACGUUCAGGUACGAAAGCAUGGGGA
This 710-nucleotide ribosomal RNA is filed under the name uncultured forest soil bacterium. Its description in RNAcentral is "bacterial SSU rRNA". It matches the Rfam family "Bacterial small subunit ribosomal RNA", at positions 64 to 767 of the family's 1533-position model. The record is from RNAcentral.